Homo sapiens (human) is the source of this 1116-nucleotide long non-coding RNA. RefSeq lists it as uncharacterized. Lineage: Eukaryota; Metazoa; Chordata; Mammalia; Primates; Hominidae. The transcript has 6 exons. The record is from RefSeq and is a predicted model, not a curated record.
GCUGUUGGUCUUUUAAUAAUUUAGGAUAGCUAUAUAGCUAUAUAUAUACAUAUAUAUUACACAAAUUAGCUUUUUGUCUGUCAUGUAUGUUGCAGAUCUGUUUCCCCAGUCUGUUGACUUUUGACUUUGAUGCAUUUUUCUUGCCUAUAAAGUUUUAAUUUUUAUGGAGUCAAAUGCAUCAGUCUUCUAUUCAAAGACUUAUUUAUGGGUUUGGUGUUUCAGUUUAGGAUGAAAAAGAAGUUGUAGAUAUGGAUAAAGGAGAUGGUUGUACAACACAUUAUAUUGGACCACUCAACUGUACGUUUAAACAUGGUUAAAAUGGCAUGUAUCAAACCAAGAAAGCGGCUAGGAGGGCAACACAUCUACCUGUAUACAGGGAGCUAUGAAAUACGUGAGCUGCGCAAGUGAUGCACAAGGAAACGGAAGCAGUAUGACCUUUACACAGUGACCUGGCUCAAAUAAUUUCAGGCUGUCAUUAACCAGGCGAGCUCCACUUUCUCUCUGAGGUUGGGUGUUAAUCUGAUGUGGUGCUCUUGGAGAAGCUUGCUUGAGUUCGGCGCUUUCUCAGCACGUGGUGUGUGCUGCCCCUUCAAGCUGCAGGAGUCCCAGAAACUCUCCUGGCUUCUAUCCAAAGCUGUGUUCCAGGUGGGGAACACCUAUGGAUGCACCAGGGUGCAACUACUCAGAGUCCAGUGUGCAGAAGGGCCCCUGCUCUAUGCUGUUUCCGUAUCCAAGCCCAAGCUCUUCUAGAGCUUCAGCAAAUCCAAGCCUCCCUGAAUUCCCUGCAAGACCAAACUGAGCCCUACAACCCCCACCACUCUGGUUAGCUGCCAGUCCCAGCCCCUGUUCCCUCCUGGGCCCCUGUCUGUACAGUUCUGAAGUCCUACAAGAAUGUUGAGAUCCUAAGCCGACUCUCACCCAAAGAGGCUGGAAGAGGGGCUCCAGAAACUUGGGAAACCUGGGCCUGUAGCUGGCAUGUGGAAAAGAGGCCUGGAAAAGCACCAUUCCUGUCCAUGAAGCCCCCAGAUGGAACCAGAAACAUGGCCAGCUGGUCCCCUAGAAGUUUGGUAUAUGGGAUAAGCCAAGGCUUGCCUUCAGCAACAGGUUUUCCACCAC